GCUGCGCUACGCAGAAACACGGAAUCUGGGUCAGCGGAGCUUUGCGUCGCGAUGCAACACAGAUAAGCUUGCGGGAGGAGGAUCGGUCUUCCGCGCUCACCUGGCGGACCGGGCCUCAUGCCUACACGGGAUAUUAAAAAGCUUUGGUUAAACACAAGCCGCGGUUUAGGCGUGCGGCGAUAGCCGGCUCCCUCACACUGCGACAGCAAAUGAAACAUGCACGGAGCUGUUUAGCGGAAGGGGCUUUAUUGGCGGCGACGGCAAGCGCUCUCAACCCAAGCAAAUAAAGAAGCAAAUAACGAUUUAUAUUCGUCACCGUGCGCGUAAAGGCAGCGCUCGGCGUGUACAAAUAUGUCUCAAUCCGCAGACGGGCUGCGAUGCGCUGCCUUUCUCUUCUACUUGACCUCGUCAUUAGCGCUAGCAGUGAUCUCAUUCGGAAAGGCGGGCGCCGACUAUCUCAAAGUGUCUGACACAUUUUUGCCUGCAAAUCCCGUUCAGUUCACAACUAAUUGGGGAACAGAAUGAAACAGAAUUUUCAUAAGGUAUCUAAAAGCAUCAAAACCAGAGUGCAGCGCUGAGGUUCUUUUCUUAUCCUUUGGUACAAUAAAGCAGACUCCUAGCCUGCUGAAUAAUCUAUGGUAAUUGUCCCAUGGGGCAAAGGAAAUCUAUUCAUGUUUAUUGUAGCAUGCUGUGCCCUACCAGGGCAAGAGACAAUGGGAGUGAGCGGGUUCCAAGCCCACAUGCUACAAUUCCCAAGAUGCAACAUGGCACUUUUGAUGAGAGACUGAGUACAUGUUUGUCUAUUAAGAUAUGUAAAUUUUUAAUCCCCCGUUCCCCUUUUACACCAUCCAUUUCUCGCAAAAAGGGAUGUUAACAAAGCUAUUAUAGUUGUACUAAAAUAUUUCAGUGUUAUAUCUGCGUGCUAUUCUUAAUAAUAAUUAGUGUCAGAGGGGUGGAACAAUCGUCGUUUCAGGAUGAAGCGAGCCAACAGAUUGCAGAGCUUUCAUGAGUAAACAAAAACAAAACAAGAGCCCCAUGAUUCUGUGCUCCAAGUUGUUAAGUCAACAUGAAACUGGGCAACAUAUUGUAAGAGAGCUGCUUGACUUGGCCCGCCACCAAUAAGAAGCAAAGAAACGGCUCCAUUUGCAGACACUGACCUUAUCUCUUCAUUCAAACCCCAGUCCUCAAACAAAGUAACAUGUCUGUCCGCAGGACUGUACUACAGAAGUCAAUCUAAUGAGAGAUAAUGUAAGCAUGACGUCUUGGUUUUUAAAGUGGACCUACCCUGCCCUCCAUGGUCAUCUGGGAUGUGGAAAAGUGGACAGAGCGGUAGAGCCUGACAACCCAGAAACAUCAGCCAACUGCUAGAACAUCAGGAACCUGGAGCUCCACCUUGUUGUCACAUCACAAAUGGAAAGGUGCGCUGAAUGCUAAUUUGGACACGAAGACUUGCCAAAUAUAUGGGCCGCCAGAGUUGGAAUGGUGUAAGCUGCAUUACUGAAGACAUUCUAUCAGGCUCUGGACCCCCUGCGACCCAGAAUAGGAUAAGCGGUUACAGAAAAUGGAUGGAUGGAUGCUUUUGUACAUCUGAAGAAUAAUGAAGGCAACUUCAAGGGUGACCACCGACAAAAGCUCUGCAUUUGGCUUUAAAACCUACAAGCUAAUUCUUGAAUCCUCACCUGCAAGUGUCAACCUUCACUUACCGCCAACAUGAACCACGAUACACUGAGUAUCUCCUUCUACGGCCAAUGGAGAACUUUUUGCUUGUCUAUAAACUAUGGCUAUGCCCACAGUAACCGAGCAACCCACUGCAACCAUUCCCCCGUAUACUGGGAUGACUGAGCCCCAGCACAGCCAUCCAUCACCCCAGUUUCCUCCAGACUGCUAAUACCCAGCUGCGCCUUUAAGCAGAUGGACAGUGCACGUGUUCCUCAGGCAUGAUGUUCGCAAAAGCUGAUUUACCGGCGGGCGAGAAAGGAACAGAGACAUGA
Paramormyrops kingsleyae is the source of this 1991-nucleotide non-coding RNA. The record is from RefSeq and is a predicted model, not a curated record. NCBI's taxonomy places the organism in Eukaryota, Metazoa, Chordata, Actinopteri, Osteoglossiformes, Mormyridae.